Molecule: ribosomal RNA, 460 nt
Filed under: uncultured bacterium
Lineage: Bacteria
Description: partial 16S ribosomal RNA
Rfam family: Bacterial small subunit ribosomal RNA
Source: RNAcentral
CCUACGGGUGGCAGCAGUGAGGAAUAUUGGUCAAUGGGCGCGAGCCUGAACCAGCCAAGUCGCGUGAGGGAAGACGGCCCUACGGGUUGUAAACCUCUUUUGCCGGGGAGCAACGGGCGCCACGUGUGGCGCCACUGAGAGUACCCGGAGAAAAAGCAGCGGCGAACUCCGUGCCAGCAGCCGCGGUAAGACGGUGGAUGCGUGCGUUAUCCGGUUUGAUUGGGUUUAAGGGGGGCGUAGGCGGAGCGUUAAGUCAGUGGUCAAAUUGAGGGGCUCAACCCCUUCCCGCCAUUGAAACUGGCGCUCUUGCGUGGAUGAGUAGUAUGCGGAAUGCGUGGUGUAGCGGUGAAAUGCAUAGAUAUCACGCAGAACCCCGAUUGCGAAGGCAGCAUGCCGGCUUCCGCCUGACGCUGACGCACGAAAGCGUGGGGAUCGAACAGGAUUAGAUACCCUAGUAGUC